UAGGGAAUCUUCCACAAUGGACGAAAGUCUGAUGGAGCAACGCCGCGUGAGUGAAGAAGGUUCUCGGAUCGUAAAACUCUGUUGUGAGGGAAGAACAAGUACCGGAGUAACUGCCGGUACCUUGACGGUACCUCAUUAGAAAGCCACGGCUAACUACGUGCCAGCAGCCGCGGUAAUACGUAGGUGGCAAGCGUUGUCCGGAAUCAUUGGGCGUAAAGCGCGCGCAGGCGGUCCCUUAAGUCUGAUGUGAAAGCCCACGGCUCAACCGUGGAGGGUCAUUGGAAACUGGGGGACUUGAGUGCAGAAGAGGAAAGCGGAAUUCCAAGUGUAGCGGUGAAAUGCGUAGAGAUUUGGAGGAACACCAGUGGCGAAGGCGGCUUUCUGGUCUGUAACUGACGCUGAGGCGCGAAAGCGUGGGGAGCAAACAGGAUUAGAUACCCUGGUAGUCCACGGCCGUAAACGAUGAGUGCUAAGUGUUAGGGGGUUUCCCGCCCCCUUAGUGCUGCAGCUAACGCAUUAAGGCACUCCGCCUGGGGAGUACGGUCGCAAGACUGAAACUUAAAUGAAUUGACGGGGGUCAUAGCUGUUUCCUG
Molecule: ribosomal RNA, 593 nt
Filed under: uncultured bacterium
Lineage: Bacteria
Description: partial 16S ribosomal RNA
Rfam family: Bacterial small subunit ribosomal RNA
Source: RNAcentral